GGACACUCUUCAAGGUGCUGCAUGGUUGUCGUCAGCUCGUGCCGUGAGGUGUCGGGUUAAGUCCCAUAACGAGCGCAACCCACGUCGUUAGUUGCCAACAGGUCAAGGCUGGGAAACUCUAACGAGACUGCCGGUGUAAACCGCGAGGAAGGUGUGGAUGACGUCAAAUCAGCACGGCCCUUACAUCCAGGGCUACACACGUGUUACAAUGGUCGGUACAGAGGGCAGCUACCAGGCAACUGGAUGCGAAUCUCAAAAACCGGUCUCAGUUCGGAUUGGAGUCUGCAACCCGACUCCAUGAAGCUGGAUUCGCUAGUAAUCGCGCAUCAGCCAUGGCGCGGUGAAUACGCUCCCGGGCCUU
RNAcentral lists this ribosomal RNA (361 nucleotides) under uncultured Alkaliflexus sp. Its description in RNAcentral is "bacterial SSU rRNA". It matches the Rfam family "Bacterial small subunit ribosomal RNA", at positions 1024 to 1382 of the family's 1533-position model. The record is from RNAcentral. Lineage: Bacteria; Pseudomonadati; Bacteroidota; Bacteroidia; Marinilabiliales; Marinilabiliaceae.